Molecule: small RNA, 586 nt
Filed under: Pan troglodytes (chimpanzee)
Lineage: Eukaryota; Metazoa; Chordata; Mammalia; Primates; Hominidae
Description: processed transcript
Source: RNAcentral
GCUGUGUGACCCGCGGGUGCCCAGCCUGUGGGGCUUCCUCAUCGCCGCCAUCCAGGCAGAUCGAGUGCCGGCUCUCUGUGCUCUCCAGGAGGUGGCCUUUCACAGCAGGGACGUUCUGUGCUCUUAUUUUAACAACUUUGUCGCCGUGAUCCUGAAGGCACUGACCUACGACGAGAAGCGGGGUGCCUGCAGCGUGGGCACCAACGUCAGGGACGCCGCCUGUUACGUGUGCUGGGCCUUCGCGCGUGCCUACGAGCCUCAGGAGCUGAAGCCCUUUGUGACUGCAAUCUCGAGUGCACUGGUGAUCGCUGCGGUGUUCGACCGAGACAUCAACUGCAGAAGAGCAGCCUCUUCUUCCCGAGGCUGCUGUCCAUGACACUGAGUCCAGAUCUUCACACGAGGCAUGGGUCGAUUCUCGCCUGCGCAGAAGUUGCUUACGCCUUGUACAAACUUGCAGCCCAAGAGAACAGGCCCGUCACGGACCAUCUGGACGAGCAGGCAGUGCAGGGCCUGAAGCAGAUUCACCAGCAGCUCUAUGAUCGUCAGUUAUACAGGGGUCUGGGAGGACAGCUCAUGAGACAAGCAG